GGAAUAUUGGACAAUGGGCGCAAGCCUGAUCCAGCCAUGCCGCGUGGGUGAAGAAGGCCUUCGGGUUGUAAAGCCCUUUCGGCUGGGACGAAAAGGUCCGCGCUAACACCGCGGAUCCAUGACGGUACCAGCCGAAGAAGCACCGGCUAACUCAGUGCCAGCAGCCGCGGUAAUACGUAGGGUGCAGGCGUUAAUCGGAAUUACUGGGCGUAAAGCGUGCGCAGGCGGUCUAUUAAGACAGGUGUGAAAUCCCCGGGCUUAACCUGGGAACUGCGCUUGUAACUGAUAGGCUUGAGUGUGGCAGAGGGGGGUGGAAUUCCACGUGUAGCAGUGAAAUGCGUAGAGAUGUGGAGGAACACCGAUGGCGAAGGCAGCCCCCUGGGCUAACACUGACGCUCAUGCACGAAAGCGUGGGGAGCAAAC
RNAcentral lists this ribosomal RNA (423 nucleotides) under uncultured bacterium. RNAcentral's name for it is "bacterial SSU rRNA". It matches the Rfam family "Bacterial small subunit ribosomal RNA", at positions 358 to 773 of the family's 1533-position model. The record is from RNAcentral.